AUGCCUUCAAUUAAAUUGCAGAGUUCUGAUGGAGCGGUAUUUGAAGUUGAUGUGGAAAUUGCCAAACAAUCUGUGACUAUCAGGACCAUGUUGGAAGAUUUGGGAAUGGAUGAUGAAGGAGCUGAUGACCAAGUUCCUCUACCAAAUGUUAAUGUGGCAAUAUUAAAAAAGGUCAUUCAAUGGUGCACCCAACACACGGAGGAGCCUCCUCCUCCUGAGGAUAAUGAAAGAAAAGCGAACAGAUGAUAUUCCUGUUUGGGACCAAGAAUUCCUGAAAGUUGACCAAGGAACGCUUUUUGAACUUAUUCUGGCUGCAAAUUACUUAAACAUCAAAGGUUUGCUUGAUGUUACAUGCAAGACUGUUGCCAAUAUGAUCAAGGGGAAAACUCCUGAGGAGAUUCGCAAGAUCUUCAAUAUCAAAAAUGACUUUACUGAAGAGGAGGAAGCCCAGGUAUGCAAAGAGAAUCAGUAGUGCAAAGAGAAGUGA
Molecule: non-coding RNA, 487 nt
Organism: Saimiri boliviensis boliviensis (Bolivian squirrel monkey)
Lineage: Eukaryota; Metazoa; Chordata; Mammalia; Primates; Cebidae
Source: RefSeq, a predicted model, not a curated record